RNAcentral lists this ribosomal RNA (253 nucleotides) under uncultured bacterium. RNAcentral describes it as "partial 16S ribosomal RNA". It matches the Rfam family "Bacterial small subunit ribosomal RNA", at positions 524 to 776 of the family's 1533-position model. The record is from RNAcentral.
UACGGGGGGGGCAAGCGUUGUUCGGAAUUACUGGGCGUAAAGGGUUCGUAGGUGGCCUUCUAAGUCAUACGUGAAAUCCCUCAGCUUAACUGGGGAACUGCGUCUGAGACUGGAAGGCUCGAGUGCAGGAGAGGAACGCGGAAUUCCAGGUGUAGCGGUGAAAUGCGUAGAUAUCUGGAGGAACACCGGUGGCGAAGGCGGCGUUCUGGACUGCAACUGACACUGAGGAACGAAAGCUAGGGGAGCAAACAGG